RNAcentral lists this microRNA precursor (65 nucleotides) under Bombyx mori (domestic silkworm). RNAcentral describes it as "mir-2774 microRNA precursor family". It matches the Rfam family "mir-2774 microRNA precursor family". The record is from Rfam by way of RNAcentral. Lineage: Eukaryota; Metazoa; Arthropoda; Insecta; Lepidoptera; Bombycidae.
AUAACAUUCGGAGCGUCGGUCUACUGAACAAUUUCACGCUCGGUGGAAGAUCUUCUCGCUGUCGU